RNAcentral lists this ribosomal RNA (484 nucleotides) under uncultured bacterium. Its description in RNAcentral is "bacterial SSU rRNA". It matches the Rfam family "Bacterial small subunit ribosomal RNA", at positions 28 to 524 of the family's 1533-position model. The record is from RNAcentral.
GACGAACGCUGGCGGCGUGCUUAACACAUGCAAGUCGAACGGUGACCCAGGGCUUGCCCUGGUGAUCAGUGGCGAACGGGUGAGUAACACGUGGGGCAACCUGCCCCUGACUUCGGGAUAACUCCUCGAAAGAGGAGCUAAUACCGGAUACGACCACUUCGGACAUCCGAUGGUGGUGGAAAGUUUUUCGGUCAGGGAUGGGCCCGCGGCCUAUCAGCUAGUUGGUGGGGUAAUGGCCUACCAAGGCGACGACGGGUAGCCGGCCUGAGAGGGCGACCGGCCACACUGGGACUGAGACACGGCCCAGACUCCUACGGGAGGCAGCAGUGGGGAAUAUUGCGCAAUGGGCGAAAGCCUGACGCAGCGACGCCGCGUGAGGGAUGAAGGCCUUCGGGUUGUAAACCUCUUUCAGCAGGGACGAAGCGAAAGUGACGGUACCUGCAGAAGAAGCACCGGCUAACUACGUGCCAGCAGCCGCGGUAAU